CUCUUCUCGUAGUUCUAUUCAGAACUAAUAUCUCAGAGAAGCAGGGAAAAAAAAAAAGAAAAAAAAAACAAUACAAAAGUACAAGAGCUAAUGUACAUUCAACUUAUCUUUAUGCCACAUAAUGCAGAAGUGACUAUUCAGAUUUUUCUUCCUAGCCAUCUUAAGAAGCCAACUUCUGUACAGCACAGAGUGCUAUAAAAAUGUUAGCAAGAAUUUUCUUUCUCUAAGGAUCUUUGCUGUUGACCUUCUUCACAUAUGCUUGGCAUUUUCAUCCAUCUGCUUUUGGAUAUACUAACACAUGAGUCAUAAAAAUGUUCUAAAGCAGCCCACCUGCCAAUUUGCUAGGUGUACUUUUCUGAAAGCAGAAAAGGUUGAAAUCAAGGGUUCACACCUGCAGAAAAGGCUAAAAGACUAAUUCAAAGUCUUAUGUGACAUCAGAAGAACAAACAAAAUAUCAGAAAUAUCAUGUUGUACAGACAGCAUCACAUGGAAAUAUAAACUUGUCUGGUAUCAUACAAAAUUAAACCUAUAUUUGAAAGAUGAGAGAAUAAGAUGAAUUAAAAAUGUGAUUUAUGUAUUUAUUUAUUCAUUUAUUUAUUAUUAUUCAUGUUUGAUUAUUUAAUGAAAUCUUUUUUUUUCCAUUGCCACUUGCUUUUUCUCAUAGUUUUCUAUUGAUUGAUGAUUAUAAAACAUUACUAGGUGCUAACUUGACACCUCAGGAAAGCACCAGUGUACAGUCGUGUUUGGUUUUGUACCCGUGACCUGGUGCUGGAUUAAUUUAUUAUACAUAAAUAGGAAGUUUUUUCUAUGAUACUGGUCUCAUGGGAUUACUAUAAUGACUUAGAUCAAUUUAUGAUGAUACUUUGAAUUCUAUAUAUGUCACCUUUCAUGUGCUUUAUUUUUUUACUCUACAGAAG
This 917-nucleotide long non-coding RNA is filed under the name Anser brachyrhynchus (Pink-footed goose). RNAcentral's name for it is "lncRNA (ENSABRG00000016425.1)". Lineage: Eukaryota; Metazoa; Chordata; Aves; Anseriformes; Anatidae. The record is from RNAcentral.